UGUUUUAUAAAUAAAUUAAUUUGCAAAAUUAACUAAGAUAAAUACCUUAUCUAAAACAU
RNAcentral lists this transfer RNA (59 nucleotides) under Tropilaelaps mercedesae. Its description in RNAcentral is "tRNA-Cys". The record is from RNAcentral. Lineage: Eukaryota; Metazoa; Arthropoda; Arachnida; Mesostigmata; Laelapidae.